RNAcentral lists this long non-coding RNA (1294 nucleotides) under Fukomys damarensis (Damara mole-rat). RNAcentral's name for it is "lncRNA (ENSFDAG00000026867.1)". The record is from RNAcentral. Lineage: Eukaryota; Metazoa; Chordata; Mammalia; Rodentia; Bathyergidae.
GGCGGAGAGAAGGAGGGAUGGAAGAGGCAGAUAUAAUAAAAAACGUUAUAUGCAUGUACAUAAAUGUCUCCCUGCAAACACUAUGCUGCAUAACUAACAAAAAAAGCAGCCAGUUGACCGUAUUCAGUGAGCCCCCAACUUACAAAUGACUUCUGUUUGGGGAGAAGGUUCGUAAACCAGACUCACUCAUAAAUCUGAUUAAGCGACACAAACGUGGCUUCGUGCUACCCAGCGGUCCCCUCCCCAUCACCAGUGCUUCUCCUUUCCGCUUCCGGACAUCCGGGGCUCUAACUGAGCGCUGAGCUACUCCACAGGAAACACACAGCAGCGCAACUGUUAACGGUGUCCGGCUGGCGAGUGAGCGACUCCUGCACUGUGUUCCCAUCUCUGAGCGUUUGUGACCAGAGGGCGGUUCGUAUCUGUGAGACUUCGCGACUUGAAUUUCUGAAUGCAAACCGUGAUGGCCACGUGGAACUUUCUUCAUCUUCAUCCAUGGAAGCCAUGAAUUCAAGAUCUCACCAGGCAACUGGUGGUGGAGGAUUGAAGUUAGCAGGCGCUUUCUUGGCCUUAAAACAGCGGACCCUAAAACAAGUCUCCUGCACAGGUGACUGCAAAGCUGGAAGCUGACAAGGAUGUAAGCUCACCUGCUUGUCAAAACUCUGCUAAUGGAAACUGCUAUCUGGAACAUUGCUUCUUGAGGCUGUUUGCUCUCACCUGGAAUGCAAGAUGGAGUGCCAGGAGUUAGGAAGACAUUUGUAAUGAUUGACUUGUAAGCUUUACCCCAGAGAAUCUGGAGGUGAGCAAAUUUAUACAUUUAAUCACUCAUUUAUGUAAACCAUUUUAAUUAAAUACAAACAAAACCCAAAUGCAUUCUUUGCUAAAAUGGAUGUUAUUUUUUUCCUCCCCUGUAGACCACAGGACUUCAUGCAUCCCUUGGCUGAUAUAAAAACAUGUAAGGAAUUAGUUUAAGGAACUUCCUACCUUUGAGGAACUUGCUGUCUAACUGGGGGAAAGACACUUUGCCACAUGGAAAUAUUCAAGGCUAAGGCACUUACUGCGGUGGUGCAAUGCAUUAAUGACCUAAAGCAUAUUGCUUAUAAAAGAGAAUAAAAUAAACAUAUAGAGAGGAACAGUGAGAGAUGCAGCCCCUUGGAGCUUGCCUGGGACCACAGCCCCACCCUUCUGGGCCUGGCAGCGGAACUGUAAGAGGUGCAGAUUCUAAAGCACCUGUAGCCUUCCCCUUCCAUGGGCCUCUGGUCUCCUUGCUGGACUGGUGCCUGGAUUCAUACCACAG